GAAGGGUGCAAGCGUUAAUCGGAAUUACUGGGCGUAAAGCGCGCGUAGGUGGUUCAGUAAGUUGGAAGUGAAAUCCCCGGGCUCAACCUGGGAACUGCUUUCAAAACUGCUGAGCUAGAGUACGGUAGAGGGUGGUGGAAUUUCCUGUGUAGCGGUGAAAUGCGUAGAUAUAGGAAGGAACACCAGUGGCGAAGGCGACCACCUGGACUGAUACUGACACUGAGGUGCGAAAGCGUGGGGAGCAAAC
RNAcentral lists this ribosomal RNA (247 nucleotides) under uncultured Pseudomonas sp. Its description in RNAcentral is "partial 16S ribosomal RNA". It matches the Rfam family "Bacterial small subunit ribosomal RNA", at positions 527 to 773 of the family's 1533-position model. Lineage: Bacteria; Pseudomonadati; Pseudomonadota; Gammaproteobacteria; Pseudomonadales; Pseudomonadaceae. The record is from RNAcentral.